UUAAGUUCAGCGGGUAUCCCUACCUGAUCCGAGGCCAUGCUUUCGUAGACAGGCCGCCCGUCAAGGCAUCUCGCCGCAUUUCUCUGCGUUUCGAAGCCAUGACGGGCGCCGAUGUGUUUCGAAGGACCCCUGGCGGGGAACUUCAACGCAAGGCAGAGCCUUAGACACAAACGGCGCUCGAACAGGUAUACCUCAAGGAU
Molecule: unclassified non-coding RNA, 200 nt
Filed under: Dothideomycetes sp.
Lineage: Eukaryota; Fungi; Ascomycota; Dothideomycetes
Description: partial internal transcribed spacer 2
Source: RNAcentral